UCUGCACUCUUAGAACAUUCUGAGCUUUUGUAGGUUUGAGAGGUAUCCUGGAAACUGACCCCAGAUGAAAAUUAAUCCUGCCCAUUUUUAUAGGAAAGCUGUGUUAUAAAAACCCAUGUGUUCAAGGGCAGCUAGGUCCUACCUGAGCCCGCCAAUGCCUCUUGCAGUCUGAAGGCUGUGUUCUCAUUGAGGUCAGCCACGUACUAGGAAGGAGGAUGAGACUACAGGAUGGUCAGGGCAGAUAGCACAUCCUUCAGUCUCCGAUGAAAGAUGCAAAUGAAAACCGCCGUCAUGAAGACAUCUCUGGGGCACAAAAUGGACAAAGCCCCUACCUGUCCAGAGAGUAUAAUCUCCACCCAUGCUGACAAAUAUGGCUGCCAUGAGCCUCAGGUGGCUAUUUACAUUUACACGUAAAUGAAUUUAAAUGAAUUUAAAUUAAAAAUUCAGUGCCACAUUUCAAGUGCUUACUAGUC
Molecule: long non-coding RNA, 473 nt
Organism: Neofelis nebulosa (Clouded leopard)
Lineage: Eukaryota; Metazoa; Chordata; Mammalia; Carnivora; Felidae
Exons: 2
Source: RefSeq, a predicted model, not a curated record